CAGGGAACCUGAUGUGGGGCUCCAUCCCAGGACCCUAGGAUCAUGACCUGAGGCAAAGUCAGAGGCUUAACCAACCGAGCCACCCAGGUGCCCCAGGAGAGAGUGUCUUAAGCAGACUCUGCACUGUGUGUGGAGCCCAGCAUGGGGCUCAGUUAACAAGUCUGAGACCACAACCUGAGCCAAAACCAAGAGUCAGACCCUUAAUCAACUGCACCACCAAGGUGUCCCUAUUAUUUUUGUCUUUUAAACAUCAUGCCUGUUAAAUAAGUGACUGAUCCACUACAUUCACUAUGUAUCUACUUUUUCCAGGGAUUUUUACUUUUGCAUAUUAUCUUUGUUAUUAAGUGCCAUUUCUUUUCAGUUUAAAGAAGUCCCUUUAACAUUUCUUUUAAGACCAGUUUAGUGGUGGUGAACUCCUUUAGCUUUUGCUAAUGUCCUUAAGGUUUAUCCAUGUUGUAGCAUGUAUCGGAAUUUCUUUUUCUUUUUUUUAAAGAUUUUAUUUAUUCAUUCAACAGAGAGAGAGAGACAGCCAGUGAGAGAAGGAACACAAGCAGGGGGAGUGGGAGAGGAAGAAGCAGGCUCCCAGCAGAAGAGCCUGACGUGGGGCUCGAUCCUGGAACGCCAGGAUCACGUCCUGAGCCGAAGGCAGAUGCUUAACGACUGAGCCACCCAGGCGCCCAGAGAAUUUCUUUUCUUUUUAAGGCAGAAUAAGAUUCUAUUUUCCUUGUCCAUUCAUCUGUCAGUGGACACUUUGGUUUACUUCCACCUUUUGGCUAUUGUGAAUUAAUGCUGCCAUGAAAAUGGGUGUACAAUAUCAUGGGUGUAUUUUUAAAAAUGUACUUAAAAACAUUAUUCUGAGAAGUCAUCUAUGGUCUUUGCUAAACUUCCAAAGGAGUCUAUGGCACAUAAGAAUCCCAGUGAGUGGUCUGGCUGGGAUUUGAACUCAGGCCAGCUGUCUCUAGAGCCUGUGUUUCUUUCAUACUCAUAAAGUCAUGUCACCUCAGUAGACCAUAUUUUUCUACAUCAGGACAGGUUCUGCAUCAAGGUUUAUGGAAAAGGGGGAAGAAAACAUUUUCUAGAUGUGCAUGUGCUCCUGUUUCUACAAUUAUUGUUUUAGGUCUUCUCAUCCCCCCGCCCAUGCUUCUCAACACCACAUGCUUCACACUUGUGAAUCCUGUCCAGUGGACACAGAUCUAUGUUGAAGGGGAAGCUAGUUUGAAGUUCCAGCCUCAACUCCACUCUGUUAUGAGCACCAACUGGAGAGAAUCACAUAAUAAACUUUACAAACAGUCCUUUCCUGUGAUAUUUCCUAAGCAUUUCUCCCUUAUCCAAUGAAUUCGUCAGGACUGGUGGGGAGUCUUGUAGACAGAUAGUGGAGCUGGGAAGGAGAAUGAGUUUAAUGCCUACACUUCCUGCCCUAUUCAACUGUCUCUUACAAACCAGAUGUGGCUGGUGCAGGUAGUAUAGUGGGGAAACGUCCAGAGGGAGAAAUGGAUACAGUAUGUGCAUUUCCCAGUCUCUUAGUCCCUGAUCCAACUCCAUAGUCUGUGAUUUUGGGGUCCUCGAAAACUUCCAAGCUAUUGCAUCUUUCCAUUUAUUAUUUCUGUGGGAAACGAACAGGACCAAAGUUUUAGGACACACGGGAGGGAUGUGGCUGCUGGUUUCUAUGGGAGGGGUUUGCGGUGAGGGUACAAUGUGGUUGGAAGGGGGUUUCUGAAAGUUACUUUUUUACCUGAUUUUACCUUAUAGGUGAACAACUCGUGUCUAAAUAGGCGGUUAGUGGAGGAUAAAUCCUAAGUAACAGGGCCAAGUACUGAUAAUACGGAAGUCCCAGAGUCCUGAUAAUACAUAACAGACUAAA
This is a long non-coding RNA of Ursus maritimus (polar bear), 1861 nucleotides long. The record is from Ensembl. NCBI's taxonomy places the organism in Eukaryota, Metazoa, Chordata, Mammalia, Carnivora, Ursidae.